GCUUUACAAUAACGUGUGGUCUGUCAACAGCAGCGGACAGAACGGCUAAAGCAAGUGGUGUUGUUCAUUCCGUCUGGAAGGUUCUGCAAAAACAGUGAGAGAUGAAAUGUAAAAGCAGUAACUCAAUUUGUUAGCAAAUUUUCAUAUCGUUCUGAUCAUGAACAAAUAACGUUAUGUCGUUUGGUGUGUAAAGUUAUGUUAGCUAGCUACUAAGCAGCAGGUGGUGAAUUCGCAGCAACCUUGUGACUGCAAUUGUUGUUGACAUUUUAAGGCAGCUUGGACAGCAUUCGUUUGUGUGGCCAGGAGCUAGCUUGUAGAUAGAACAUGAGUUCAGCAACAGCUGGGAUUGGGAACCGAGAGGAUGGCGUCCCUCCAGACCGUGGAAGUGAAAAAGUGGAUGACAGUGGGGGCGACAGUGGCAGGCAAGAGUCGGGAGAUGUGCCUCGGGCAACAACGAAAUAAAGAACUGUGCAGUGAAGUACUCUGCUGCCCCUCAACCCACCGCCUAUGCACUACUACAGGAGAAGACUGAUCUGAAGCUGCCUCCUGCCAACUGGCUACGGGAGAGUCCCCAACGUGGGCCUGCAGGCACCUCUGUACUCGGGUCUAGCAGCAAGAGCAAGCCUUUCUCCAGAACAUCAAGAAGAUCCCCUACAGCAAGUCCCAUGUCAGUAUGGCAGUCCACCGUGUGGGAAGGACUCUCCUUCUAGAUGAACUGGCUCUUCAUGAGUUCUUCUCAGAGAGGAGAUUGGACAUGGCUAAUGGAGAUUUACCAGAGGGUAAUAGAUCAGAAGUGACAGAGGAACAAGAAGAGUAAAGAACACUGGUACCAAAAAGCAAGUUCAAAUACUACAAGUGAGAUACUUGAGUAUAAAUGGUGAUGGAGCCACAGAGCCUGUCCCUGAAUCAGACAACCCUGAUGAGGAGUGUGGGGCGGAGGAGUUUGGUCCCUCCUGGCCUGUUACCUUCAUCAGCACUGCUUCAGACUCGGAGGAGGCCGCAGCACACAGAGGAAAGUGUUCCCAUGGACAGCAAGUAUCCAUUGGGACAAGUGGCUUCCAAAGAGCAGAACCUUACCACAUUUUUCAACAAAGGGGAGAACAGUCAUGUCGGCUAGUGAUAAAGAAACUUCAUCAACAAUCUCAGGAGGCUGUGUAUUUUCUCUAUUUUGUUUUGUUAGCAUUUGUUUAUUUGAUUGUAAAUGAGUUAAAUCUAUUAAAUUCAAGUAUCCAAACAA
Molecule: RNA transcript, 1237 nt
Organism: Oncorhynchus keta (chum salmon)
Lineage: Eukaryota; Metazoa; Chordata; Actinopteri; Salmoniformes; Salmonidae
Gene name: erythroid differentiation-related factor 1-like
Exons: 6
Source: RefSeq, a predicted model, not a curated record